AAUUCAACAACUGUUUAUUCUAAUUAAGGCUCAUAAUUACCCUUUACACAAAAACCCUUAACAAAUCCCCGCGUCAAAUUCGGCAGCCCCAAAAUCCCUAAUUCCCCUGAAAAAAAAAUUCAUUCCGUGUUUUCAAAUUCAUUCCAUCUUUGGUUCAAUUUCGGCAACCCCAAAUUAUGAACAGACCCUAGGAACCACGACUUUUACUGGUCGAGAUCGUGAUCUAGGCCUUUAUUUGUUUUGUUGAUUUCGUCGACUCACCAAAAACACUAGACUUAUCAAAUUCGUCAUCGGAACUGUCAUUACUGUUUACGUUGAAGCAGUAAUCCUACUGCGCUUCACCGGCGCCGGUUGGUUUCUCCACCGACGAUAUCCGCAGAACAAUAAGGUUUGUGUGUGUUGCGUACAUAUAUCUAUAGUAAUAUAUUCUGUCAGUUAUCUUGAAUUAUUCAUACCUUAUUGUGUCUAUAAUAAUGUGUUAGCGACUGAAGUGACCAUUUAGAAGGACAGAUGUCAGCCCCAAAUUAUGACCCCAACAAAAUAUUUCCGUCUUGGUUCAAAUUCGUCAGCCCCAAAUUAUGAACAGACCCUAGGAACCACGGCGAUCAAAAAGUAUGACUUGAAGAGCUGUUGUUCGGAUUAAGUACCGAUUUUAAGUAAGUUUUCCUUUUGAAAUUGACUGCGUAAUAGAUAUCGUGAUAUAGGGCUUUGUUUGCUGAUUUUUUGGUUUCUUAGGUUUGGUUUUGUUUUGGUCUACGUUCAUCUUCUUCGGAUCUCAGAUUGUGUGAAAAUUUUAAUUUCUUUUCUUGGUUGACAAAGAAAUUGAGGACAGUGCUCUGUUUGAUUUUCGAUCCCCCAAAUUUCUGAUUAUGUAAUUUCUACUUUCAUUGUAUUCAACGAAGUUAACGAUUCCGGUCUGGUCAGUUGGGUCCAAAUACAAACCUUCCCAACAGCCUAGACAAAUAGAGGAAUAGUUAAAUUUUCUUUAAUAAAUAAAAAACAAAUAAUUUUGGACAUUGAAGCAACUGUAAAGCUGAAGAUAUGGAAGGAAACUAAAAGGUUGAUUCUUGUAUCUUGAAAUAGUUUAUGAUAGCUUAAAACAGAGACAAGUGAAAACAAAUAGACAUUCUUUACUGUUUGUUUACUCAAUUACUAUCUUUUUUAAAUAAUAAUAAUAAUAAUAAUAAUAAUAAUAAUAAUAAUAAUAAUAAUAAUAAUAAUAAAGAUUAUCAAUUAGCUAAGUAAGCAUCCAAUCCUGUGAUCAACAAGUGAGACUCAAGAAAUUAAAUGAGUCAUUGUGAUAGGAAAUUGCUUAAAGGAGUAUAUUGCCUGGGUAAUAUGUUGACACUUGCUUUGUGUUGUUGGUUGGUUUGUUUAUCUGUUUUGAGUGGAUAUAUGCAGACAAACAAUAUAUGUCACCACAUAUGUCAAUUUUAAGAUCCCCAACAAUUUAUAAAGUGUAUACUUAUAAUAAUACAAUUAUUAGAGGAGUUGUUAUAUAUUUUUUUCUUUUAAUAUUUUGAAUAAGAUUGAAACUACCAGGAUGGUCUCCGCACCAUUACUACUAAUUAACUAAUUGAUCAAGUCAGAUCCAUGAACUUGAUAUAGUUGUCACCAUUGUUUAUUAAUUGCAGGUUGUAUUUUUUUUUAAAAUAAAAUAAAUAAUGGUCUAUCAAGCUAAACUUGAUAUUUUAAUAGGUUGGUUAUAUGAUAACAAGUAGCUGUAGCGUGUAGGAGGGAAUCCGAAACCUAUGACAUUUAAAUCUGGCCGCAUGAUGUUAGUAUGAAUAUCCAAAUAAUAGCCAACCUUAGAAACACCUUUUCCAAUGUAGUCUGAUCCUCCAUCUCUUAGUUCCAGAGUUUCAUAAAUUCCUGAAAGAAGAGACAUGUACAAAAGAACAGAGAAACACACUGGUAAAGAUGAUAAGAAUAGCAAAUGUAAACUUUUAUGUAGAUGAAUUUAGGGACUCUAUUUUUUCUUUUUUUAUCUCAUUUUAAUCAUUUAGAUGUCUAAUGUUGUAAUUUAAUGUUGUAUGAGAUUAGUUUUGAUUCUGCAAGUUCGCCAACUAAAGUACAUAAAUCCUGGUCUGGUCUUUGUUCAAUGGGGGGUAGAGACUCUUUCUAAUUGAUUUUGGAAGUAUAUUGCUACUGUUUUUUUUACUGUUUUAUUUGAUGCUUCUUUGCCUCUUUCUCAUAUGGGUCAGUUAACAAAUUGAUAGAAAAGGUAGUCACCUAAAUAAAUUCAUGGACAACAAGAGGAAGCUUUAUAGGAUAUACCUGGUAAGGAUUCCAACCAGGCAAGGGAACCAACCCCUGGGGAAGCAGUACUGAACCAAAUGUCCCUGGCAUAUAUGAACCUGGAAGAAGAGCGGACCUUGAGACACCACUUGGUUGUGGAUGGUGAAAUUUGCAGCUUGUGCCAAACUUGCAGUGCCCUGUUUUUAUAAAGUAGAAACACUCUUUUUCACCCUGUCACAAGAAUUACAAUUACAAUUAAAAUCAUAUUCCUGUCCUAAUCAAGUAGUUGUUCUCAUGGGUUGGUAUUACAUAUAUUAUAUAAUGUAUUGUUUGUAGAAAUUUUCAAGCCAAAAUUUAUUUUUGGAUGAAUGUAUAUACUAAAUCACAGUACAUGACACAAUAAUUUGACAUCUGUCCUUUUAUAAAUUUAACACCUGUCCAUCCUAUUUAAUGCUCCUUAUUACCCUUACAAAAAAACCCAUGACCCCGCGUCUAAAAAACAACUGAGGUUGUAAAAAACCUAAAUACAAACCCCUAAUUCCCCUUGGUUCAAAUUAAUUUCGUGUCUUGGUUCAAAUUCGUCAGCCCCAAAUUAUGAAUAGACCCUAAGAACCACGACGAGCAAAAAAGUAUCGAUUUGUGACGAAACAACAAACCUCUAGAGAUUUUAUUAGUUGAAGAGUUGUUCGGAUUGAGUACCGAUUUUCAAGUAAGUUUUCCUUUUGAAAUUGAGUGCAUGAUCGAGAUCGUGAUAUAGGGCUUUAUUUGCUGAUUUUAUGGUUUCUUCGGUUUUGUUUUGUUUUGGUUUACGUUCAUCUUCUUCGGAUCUCAGACUGUGAAUUUUUUAAUUUCUUUUCUUGGUUGUCUUAGAAAUCAGUCUGGAUAGUUAUGAAAAAAUUGUGGAUAACUGUGUCUAAUUGAGGACAGUGCUCGGGUUGAUUUUUGAUCCCCAAAAUGGAAGAAAUCUCUAUUUGAAAUUUCACUCUGAUUUCCCCCAAAUGGGAUGAAAAUGAGAUUCCUUUUAUUUCAGCAAUCCGUUCAGCUCUUACAGCUCUUACCAUCUGUAUUAUGUUGUAGCAUUUUGGCCACUUUGGUAUAUUUGAAAGUAUCAUUGUCACGACGUGAGUUGGGCAGAGACAAAUUAGAUAAAGGUUGGAUUGAUCAACAUUGCUUAUAACCUUUUCCCUUCUCCUAAUAUUUAGUUUAUAUUCUAUUUGUUACUUGUAUAUUUUAAUAUUUAUGGCUAUCAUUUAUGUUGCAUUGAUGUGUUUAACAGUUUGAGUAGAAUCAGUGGGAUUUCGUUUACAACUUCAAUUGUCAUUGAUGUGAAAGUGGUAGUAUCUUUAUAUAUAUAUAUCAUAUUAUAAGCUAUGACACCUGAAACUAUGAACCUUUUGCUUUCAGAUAAAGGCCAUGAAGGAUAUGUAUUUACUAGAAUUAACUGAAAUGUACCAAAAAAUUGAUGCUAAAUUGCAUCAGGUAAUUUACUGUCCACCUUUGAUUUUUAUCAUGUCAUGUCAAUUAAAAAAAACUUUACUAUCACAGGAACAGUGGGGUUUUAUUCUUUUGUUGAGUAGUGGGUAAGAUCUGGGAUACUCAUAUUACUUCCUAUGUCAUUAACAAUUUUAUAUUUGUGCUAACAUGCUUUGCUCAAUCAGUCCAGUUGUGUACAAGGAAGAGUUCGCUUUAUGUGAGAUAGUGAAAUAGAGACUGCGAAACACAGAUGAUUACCAGGCAUUUUUGAAGUGUCUUCAUAUUUAUAGCACUGAAAUAAUUAAAAGAAAGGAAUUACAAAGUUUGUUAUGUAUCAAGUUGAUCAUGCCAAGUGUUGCUUAUUUUUUUGCUACUUAUUUAGAUGCUUAUUGUAGAAGUCAUUACAAUUUGACUGUUUUGAGUGGCUCUUUCCAAUCACUAUGUAAAGUCUUUGUUCAGAACUUGGUUACUUAUUUAGAUUCUGAACCAACUAUUUGAAUACACAGAAGUAGAGGAGGAAAAAGGAUUCUUUUCAUGCAAGAGGAACCUAACUAUGAUUAUAGAGAAAUGAUUCCUAUAUUAAUUUGGACUCGUAGUUUGAGGCAAAUUCUAUUCAAUUCUAUACUAUUUUGUCUCAAGUAAACCCUUCAUAAUUAUACUUUGACCACAACUUGGCUUCUCUUCAUUUGUAUCUCGGGGGCUCGGGGCUAAAGGAUAAUUUAUGGAUUAAGCAUUAAACAACAGAUGUAGCUAUUUUUAUCGUAUUGUGUUGCUCGAUUCUAGGAUUUGUCUACUUCCAAAUUCCAAUAUUUUAUUGUCCUAUAUCUCUGUCUUAUGUUAAUUGCUAUGUUUCUCAACACUUUUUCCCCAUUAGUUGCUUCAACAUUGUUCAAGCAGUUCUCUUUUUUAGUAGUGUAGCUUACGCUUAAUGUCAAUGCACCAUGUAUUAAAUUGCUGACGCAAAGUCAUUCUUAUGACGUUUAAAUAUUGGCAUGUCUUAGAUCUAUGAGAAAGUGAAGGAGUUACAGUCUCUGUCAAAAUUUGACUGCAACAAGAACUUGAAGCAAGAAUUGACAGACAUAUCCAGGUGAUUUGUGCUUUCUAUUUUACUUUGUGGUGAAAUAUUUAUUAUGGUAUGUGUUCUAUUGAGGUUGGAUUCAGAAGCAGUGACUGACGUAGUCAUGACCAAGGAUGUUAUUGUAAUUAACGUAGUCAUGACCAUAUUUUCUGGACAGAGUUGUUAUAAUAUUGAAUGUGAUUAAGAAAAUUGUGAUAUAGGUCAUUAUUCUAGGAGCGUACAUUAGUUUUGUCUUAUUGGGAGGAAACAAAAACAAACAAUUAACAUUACCAUUAAACAAGUGAGAGCCUCACUAACUUUUGCUUUAAAAUGACCUUGUGAGGUCAGUGUUUUUUCUAUUUUUAUUCAUUAUGAUUUAUAGUUUGUCAAUAUACAAGUCAUUAGUCAUCAUUAUANNNNNNNNNNNNNNNNNNNNNNNNNNNNNNNNNNNNNNNNNNNNNNNNNNNNNNNNNNNNNNNNNNNNNNNNNNNNNNNNNNNNNNNNNNNNNNNNNNNNAUUAUAGUUUUGAUUCUAACAAUUAUAUAUGUGAGGCCUUGAUGCCAUUAGUGAGGUCAUUCUGCAAGAACUUAAAUUUGGAGCAAUCAGUUGCAUAACAAAAUAUCAGAGCUUUGAUUUUUGCACUUUUUUGAGUCCAAGUCUCUGUCACUCUAUCUGCAUUUGGUUCCCACUUCUGUUUGUGCACAUUAGUUUUUUUUAUUUUUAUCUACUUUGGAUGAAGUUGGUCCUAUCUGCUUGCUUAGUGAGUACGGUCACAUGUGAAUGGGUUUUAAAAUGCAAUGUUGGGUGCAUUCACUACAUCCCCCCCCCUGCCCAAUCACCCCCUUUCUGAUAAGUAACUAUUAUAUAUAAGGUUAUGGCUUUGAAGAAAUUUAUUUCACAUGCUUACAUUAGGUCAUUUAUUAGAUAGUUUUUUGACAUUUUGAAUAGUUAUGUGAUUGAUGUUUACUGCAUUAUUUACAAGGGAAUGGUUAGAGGUAUAUAUUUUCAAGCUAUUGUGCCAUGUACAGCGUUUCAUACACACAUUACUCAAAAUUACCUCACAAAAUGGCACUGCUAAUUUGAACACUGACUUUGUUUUCAGGUCAUUGCAAUUGAAGGUUGUUUCUCUUGAAUGAAGGUUCUAAGCUUGUAGUUUACCUAGAUAUUUUGCUAUAUGCUUGGGCUGAAUAGUUUGAGCAUUGACUUUUUAAUUGUAUUUUUAAGAGUUUUAAACCUUCGCAUACCCUUUUAUUCUCUUUUUGUUAUGGAUUGUAAAAAGUUAAGUUGAGGCAGCCCUUUCUUUACAGUAAACAAAUUACAAAUGUAGUAAAGGACGGGGAAAAUAAAUUAGUUGGCUACACUUUGGUCAAGAAAAAUUGAAAAAAAAAGAAAAGAAAAAGGGAAGAGUAGAAAAAAUGAUUUGUCCACAAGUUGAGGUCACUUAUUUUGCCACUAGCCUAAAAGUACUUAGAGUGUAAUGUACAGAAAUGUAAACUCUCAUCACUACCCCUUACAAUGUAUAUUUAUUUGUUUUUUUGUUUAAAAUUUGAUUAUCGCACAACAAUUUACUCUUUUUAUUAUAUUUUAAUUUAUUAAUUAUACGUACACAUUUAUUAUUCAAAAAUUGAAUAAUCCCGCUGCAACGCGCGAGUUUGUAUCUAGUUAUAUAUACUAAAUCACUGACACAAUAAUUUGAUAUAUGUCCUUCUAUAAAUUUAACACCUGUCCAUCCUAUUGAAUGCUCCUUAUUAUGAC
This 6523-nucleotide long non-coding RNA is filed under the name Panax ginseng (ginseng). RNAcentral's name for it is "long non-coding RNA (PGIN_LNC014812)". The record is from RNAcentral. Lineage: Eukaryota; Viridiplantae; Streptophyta; Magnoliopsida; Apiales; Araliaceae.